CACGUCACGAAAGUCGGUNACACCCAAAGUCAGUGGCCCAACCGCAAGGAGGGAGCUGCCUAAGGUGGGAUCGGUGAUUGGGACGAAGUCGUAACAAGGUAGCCGUACCGGAAGGUGCGGCUGGAUCACCUCCUUUCUAAGGAGCCUGCCAAAAGCAGAUGCUCAUAAGAUAAGUGGAGCAUUGAUUUUUGAAUCUCAUCAAAACGAAUCAUUAGUACAACUCAAUUAUUAAUUUAUUAAUCAUUGAGAGUGGAAAAAAUCUUGUAGCGAAAUGUUUCAUGCACGUUGUUGGGUCCUGAGGGUACGAACCCUCUGGCCCUAGUGAGCAAGUCGAACUGAUUAAAUUUAUUUAAUUAAGCGGCUAACGUUCCUAGGUUCGCCCGUAUCUUGAGAACUACACAGUGAACGCGAGCAUCUUUGUUUUAAAAGCAAAAAAAUGUAAGAAAAUUAUUAAGUGCAAAUGGCGGAUGCCUAGGCACCAGAAGCCGAAGAAGGUCGUAUGAGGCUGCGAAAAGCCUCGGGGAGCUGCCAACAGAGCUUUGAUCCGAGGAUUA
This 554-nucleotide unclassified non-coding RNA is filed under the name uncultured bacterium SH17. Its description in RNAcentral is "contains partial 16S ribosomal RNA, complete intergenic spacer region, and partial 23S ribosomal RNA sequence". The stretch from base 1 to 136 matches the Rfam family "Bacterial small subunit ribosomal RNA", at positions 1398 to 1533 of the family's 1533-position model. The record is from RNAcentral.